UGGGGGAUAUUGCGCAAUGGGGGAAACCCUGACGCAGCAACGCCGCGUGAAGGAUGAAGGUCUUCGGAUCGUAAACUUUUGUCUUAUGGGAAGAAUAAUGACGGUACCAUAGGAGGAAGCCACGGCUAACUACGUGCCAGCAGCCGCGGUAAUACGUAGGUGGCAAGCGUUGUCCGGAUUUACUGGGUGUAAAGGGCGUGUAGGCGGGACUGUAGGUCAGAUGUGAAAUACCCGGGCUUAACUCGGGGGCUGCAUUUGAAACCACAGUUCUUGAGUGCUGGAGAGGAAAGCGGAAUUCCUAGUGUAGCGGUGAAAUGCGUAGAUAUUAGGAGGAACACCAGUGGCGAAGGCGGCUUUCUGGACAGUAACUGACGCUGAGGCGCGAAAGCGUGGGGAGCAAACAGG
RNAcentral lists this ribosomal RNA (405 nucleotides) under uncultured prokaryote. RNAcentral describes it as "bacterial SSU rRNA". It matches the Rfam family "Bacterial small subunit ribosomal RNA", at positions 355 to 776 of the family's 1533-position model. RNAcentral also lists the same sequence under 1 other name. The record is from RNAcentral.